AAAACAUUCGUACUCCAACCCUUUGUGACUACCUGUUUUCGUUGCUUCGGCAGGUGAAGGCGGAUGGCCUCCGGGCCUCCCGCCGCCGCCGGGUCCGGGAAACCGGCCGGGUGGGCCUGCCGGAGGGCACAGACUCUUGUAUUAAACGUACCUCUCUGAGUUAUCUUUUACAAACAAGUAAAAACUUUCAACAACGGAUCUCUUGGUUCUGGCAUCGAUGAAGAACGCAGCGAAAUGCGAUAAGUAAUGUGAAUUGCAGAAUUCAGUGAAUCAUCGAAUCUUUGAACGCACAUUGCGCCCGCCAGUAUUCUGGCGGGCAUGCCUGUCCGAGCGUCAUUUCAACCCUCAGGCCCUGGUUGCCUGGUGUUGGGGCGCCGCGCACCCCUAGCGGGCGCGGGCCCCGAAAGUCAGUGGCGGGCUCGCCAGGACUCCGAGCGCAGUAAUAUUGCCUCGCUGCGGAGCGCCUGGUGGGUUACCCAGCCGUAAAACACCCCAAAUUCUAAAGGUUGACCUCGGAUCAAGUAGGAAUACCCGCUGAACUUAAGCAUAUCAAUAAGCGGAGGAA
This 565-nucleotide ribosomal RNA is filed under the name Phaeoacremonium fuscum. RNAcentral's name for it is "eukaryotic LSU rRNA". The stretch from base 183 to 336 matches the Rfam family "5.8S ribosomal RNA". The record is from RNAcentral. Lineage: Eukaryota; Fungi; Ascomycota; Sordariomycetes; Togniniales; Togniniaceae.